RNAcentral lists this transfer RNA (89 nucleotides) under Neochlamydia sp. S13. It matches the Rfam family "tRNA". From Rfam's summary of the family: Transfer RNA (tRNA) molecules are approximately 80 nucleotides in length. Their secondary structure includes four short double-helical elements and three loops (D, anti-codon, and T loops). RNAcentral also lists the same sequence under 4 other names. The record is from Rfam by way of RNAcentral. Lineage: Bacteria; Pseudomonadati; Chlamydiota; Chlamydiia; Parachlamydiales; Parachlamydiaceae.
GGAGAGGUGUCCGAGUGGCUUAAGGAGCACGCUUGGAAAGCGUGUGUACGCUUUUAAACGUACCGUGGGUUCGAAUCCCACCCUCUCCG